CUUGCGCCAUUACAUGCUUUUGGCGCUGGUUUAAAAGACGCUACAGAUGAGUUGUAAUGGCGGUCAACACCAUCUGAGGGUUUCUUGACAUAUUCCUUCGGCGCCAUUAAAUCGUUUCUGGCGGUCUUCAGAACAGUAGCGCCACUAAAAGGGUCCCAGCGCCCCCUUCACCUAGCGCCAGAAGCCCCCUUUCCUGCGAAACCACAAAAAUAAUUUGGUGGCUGAUGUCUUCGUGCCCCACGAUAUCCCUCCCUCUGCGUUUGUCAUUGAUGUUCGGAGCUUGUACGCCGGAAGUCGGCGGAUUUUAUCGGCAAAUCGGCACUUUAGAUCAUCGGGAAUCAGCAGAUUCCAUUGGCAUCUAUCACGUUUUUUAUUUUUUUGCAUCUCUGAUCCAUCUCCCACACUUUUUUUUCCCACUUUUCAUCUGCAUGCCUACUCAUUUGCGACUUCUGCUGCUCACAGGUGAACACCUCUUUCUCUCUAUCGUUUGCUUAUUGUCCUUCUGCUGCUCACAGGACAUGCAAUCUUCAAGUUGAAGGAGGUCAAGAGUUCAACAACCAAACUGCAUUGCUGUGUCUAAUGAGAGUCCAGCACAUCUCCUGUAUGACUUCAGAAAAUAUGUUCAAAGACAGUACGGGAAACUGCUUUAAACCAGGUACAAGAAUGUGCAACAAAAAAAUUGUAUCAUAUGGAAAUGAUCUUCCCACCAUCUUUCUUCGACAUCAUAAUACAUUUAACUGUUCAUCUUGUUGAGGAGAUGAUAUUGGGAGGACCACUUCCAUAUCGCUGGAUGUACCCAAUUGAAAGGUACUUAUCUAGACUAACAGGUUAUAAGCAUCAUCAAAGCCAAGUGGAGGGGCCUAUUGCUGAGGGUUACAUUGCAGAUAAAUGUCUUCAAUUUUAUUCUAGAUAUUUGCAUAGUGUGGAGACUAGAUUGAGUAUACCUAUAAGAAAUAAUGACGAUGUUGAAGGAGCUUUACCAAAUAUGUUUUCCCCAAGGCGUUACGUAUUUGGAGGAAGAUUAAUCACUAGUUUAGAUAACACAACAUAUCUAAAGUAAGCUAUGAACAAGACAACAUAUGCUUUAUACAUGUAAGCUGACAUUAUUGUUGUUGUG
Molecule: long non-coding RNA, 1117 nt
Organism: Nymphaea colorata (pocket water lily)
Lineage: Eukaryota; Viridiplantae; Streptophyta; Magnoliopsida; Nymphaeales; Nymphaeaceae
Exons: 5
Source: RefSeq, a predicted model, not a curated record